CACGCAGCGGAGGAUAGAACCACAGGGACCUGCCCUAGUAACGGCGAGUGAAGCGGCAACAGCUCAAAUUUGAAAUCUGGCUUCGGCCCGAGUUGUAAUUUGUAUAGGAUGCUUUUGGCGCGGCACCUUCUCAGUCCCCUGGAACGGGGCGCCAUAGAGGGUGAGAGCCCCGUAUAGUUGGAUGCCUAGCCUGUGUAAAGCUCCUUCGACGAGUCGAGUAGUUUGGGAAUGCUGCUCAAAAUGGGAGGUAAAUUUCUUCUAAAGCUAAAUACCGGCCAGAGACCGAUAGCGCACAAGUAGAGUGAUCGAAAGAUGAAAAGCACUUUGAAAAGAGGGUUAAAUAGCACGUGAAAUUGGUGAAAGGGAAGAGCUUGUGACCAGACUUGCGCCCCGCUGACCCGGGGGGCUCUGUCCGGCAGAAAA
RNAcentral lists this ribosomal RNA (423 nucleotides) under Melanocarpus albomyces. RNAcentral's name for it is "LSU rRNA". It matches the Rfam family "Eukaryotic large subunit ribosomal RNA", at positions 44 to 474 of the family's 3401-position model. Lineage: Eukaryota; Fungi; Ascomycota; Sordariomycetes; Sordariales; Chaetomiaceae. The record is from RNAcentral.